This 800-nucleotide ribosomal RNA is filed under the name Nocardia asteroides. RNAcentral describes it as "bacterial SSU rRNA". It matches the Rfam family "Bacterial small subunit ribosomal RNA", at positions 75 to 889 of the family's 1533-position model. Lineage: Bacteria; Bacillati; Actinomycetota; Actinomycetes; Mycobacteriales; Nocardiaceae. The record is from RNAcentral.
GCCCUUCGGGGUACACGAGCGGCGAACGGGUGAGUAACACGUGGGUGAUCUGCCUCGUACUUCGGGAUAAGCCUGGGAAACUGGGUCUAAUACCGGAUAUGACCUUCUGAUGCAUGUCAGUGGGUGGAAAGAUUUAUCGGUACGAGAUGGGCCCGCGGCCUAUCAGCUUGUUGGUGGGGUAAUGGCCUACCAAGGCGACGACGGGUAGCCGGCCUGAGAGGGCGACCGGCCACACUGGGACUGAGACACGGCCCAGACUCCUACGGGAGGCAGCAGUGGGGAAUAUUGCACAAUGGGCGAAAGCCUGAUGCAGCGACGCCGCGUGAGGGAUGACGGCCUUCGGGUUGUAAACCUCUUUCGACAGGGACGAAGCGCAAGUGACGGUACCUGUAGAAGAAGCACCGGCCAACUACGUGCCAGCAGCCGCGGUAAUACGUAGGGUGCGAGCGUUGUCCGGAAUUACUGGGCGUAAAGAGCUUGUAGGCGGUUCGUCGCGUCGUUCGUGAAAACUUGGGGCUCAACCCCAAGCUUGCGGGCGAUACGGGCGGACUAGAGUACUUCAGGGGAGACUGGAAUUCCUGGUGUAGCGGUGAAAUGCGCAGAUAUCAGGAGGAACACCGGUGGCGAAGGCGGGUCUCUGGGAAGUAACUGACGCUGAGAAGCGAAAGCGUGGGUAGCGAACAGGAUUAGAUACCCUGGUAGUCCACGCCGUAAACGGUGGGUACUAGGUGUGGGUUUCCUUCCACGGGAUCCGUGCCGUAGCUAACGCAUUAAGUACCCCGCCUGGGGAGUACGGCCGC